AGAGUUUGAUCCUGGCUCAGGAUGAACGCUGGCGGCGUGCUUAACACAUGCAAGUCGAGCGAAUGAGUCUCUUCGGAAACGAGUUAGCGGCGGACGGGUGAGUAACGUGUGGGUAACCUGCCAUAUACUGUGGAAUAAUCAUUGGAAACGAUGACUAAUACCGCAUGUGAUCACGAGGAGGCAUCUUCUUGUGAAGAAAGGGCUUUUAGCUCGGUAUAUGAUGGACCCGCAUCUGAUUAGCUAGUUGGUGAGAUAACAGCUCACCAAGGCGACGAUCAGUAGCCGACCUGAGAGGGUGAUCGGCCACAUUGGGACUGAGACACGGCCCAAACUCCUACGGGAGGCAGCAGUGGGGAAUAUUGCACAAUGGGGGAAACCCUGAUGCAGCAACGCCGCGUGAAGGAUGAAGGGUUUCGGCUCGUAAACUUCUAUCGAUGGGGAAGAAAAAAAUGACGGUACCCAAAUAAGAAGCACCGGCUAAAUACGUGCCAGCAGCCGCGGUAAUACGUAUGGUGCAAGCGUUAUCCGGAAUUACUGGGUGUAAAGGGAGCGUAGGCGGUAUGGUAAGCCAGAUGUGAAAGCCCGAAGCUUAACUUCGAGGAUUGCAUUUGGAACUACCAAACUAGAGUACAGGAGAGGUAAGUGGAAUUCCUAGUGUAGCGGUGAAAUGCGUAGAUAUUAGGAAGAACACCAGUGGCGAAGGCGACUUACUGGACUGAAACUGACGCUGAGGCUCGAAAGCGUGGGGAGCGAACAGGAUUAGAUACCCUGGUAGUCCACGCCGUGAACGAUGAGUGCUAGGUGUCGGAGGGGAACCUUCGGUGCCGCAGCUAACGCAAUAAGCACUCCACCUGGGGAGUACGAUCGCAAGAUUGAAACUCAAAGGAAUUGACGGGGGCCCGCACAAGCGGUGGAGCAUGUGGUUUAAUUCGAAGCAACGCGAAGAACCUUACCAAGGCUUGACAUCCCGAUGACCGGUGUAGAGAUACACUUUUUCUUCGGAACAUCGGUGACAGGUGGUGCAUGGUUGUCGUCAGCUCGUGUCGUGAGAUGUUGGGUUAAGUCCCGCAACGAGCGCAACCCCUAUCUUCAGUAGCCAUCAUUAAGUUGGGCACUCUGGAGAGACUGCCGUGGGAUAACACGGAGGAAAGGUGGGGGAUGACGUCAAAUCAUCAUGCCCCCUUAUGUCUUGGGGCUACACACGUGCUACAAUGGCUAAUACAAAGAGAAGCGAGACGGUGACGUUAAGCAAACCUCAAAAAGUUAGUCCCAGUUCGGAUUGUAGGCUGCAACUCGCCUACAUGAAGCUGGAAUCGCUAGUAAUCGCGAAUCAGAAUGUCGCGGUGAAUACGUUCCCGGGCCUUGUACACACCGCCCGUCACACCACGGGAGUUGGAAGCACCCGAAGUCCAUGACCUGACCGUAAGGAGGGAGUGGCCGAAGGUGAAGCCAGUGACUGGGGUGAAGUCGUAACAAGGUAACCGUAA
RNAcentral lists this ribosomal RNA (1487 nucleotides) under uncultured bacterium. RNAcentral's name for it is "bacterial SSU rRNA". It matches the Rfam family "Bacterial small subunit ribosomal RNA". The record is from RNAcentral.